This 387-nucleotide ribosomal RNA is filed under the name Triticum aestivum (bread wheat). RNAcentral describes it as "partial small subunit ribosomal RNA". The record is from RNAcentral. Lineage: Eukaryota; Viridiplantae; Streptophyta; Magnoliopsida; Poales; Poaceae.
AUGAUUAGCACCAGGAAGGAUAGAUCAAUUGCAGCUUUCAUCCAGGAGUUAAACCAGCACAUUCGAUGCCAGGAGAACCGGAUGUGCGCAGGCAUGAUAGACCUGAAGAAGGCCAUGACCAAAAUCACGGAACUGGAGGAAGAACUCAAAUCUACAUGCGAUGGAUAUGAGGAGGAAAUAACAACACUAGUGGAGAAGAAUGAUCAUCUGAAGAAGCUAAGAGUGUUUAUGGGAUUUCCCGCAACUGGAGGAGAAGAUGAUUGCACUUGUCCAGAGAACUACAUCAUCAUCGACGACACCGACUCGGACCCAGACGAUAGCGAUGAUGACUAUGUUGAUGAAGCUGGAGCAGAUAUCAUGGAAUCUUCAUUGGAGCAGUUUUUCUAG